RNAcentral lists this ribosomal RNA (378 nucleotides) under uncultured cyanobacterium. RNAcentral's name for it is "bacterial SSU rRNA". It matches the Rfam family "Bacterial small subunit ribosomal RNA", at positions 376 to 770 of the family's 1533-position model. Lineage: Bacteria; Bacillati; Cyanobacteriota. The record is from RNAcentral.
CGAAAGCCUGACGGAGCAAGACCGCGUGAGGGAGGAAGGCUCUUGGGUUGUAAACCUCUUUUCUCAGGGAAGAAACCUGACGGUACCUGAGGAAAAAGCCUCGGCUAACUCCGUGCCAGCAGCCGCGGUAAUACGGAGGAGGCAAGCGUUAUCCGGAAUUACUGGGCGUAAAGCGUCCGUAGGGGGCUCGUCAAGUCUGCUGUCAAAGCUCGGAGCUCAACUCCGACCCGGCAGUGGAAACUGGGGAGCUAGAGGGCGGCAGGGGCAGAAGGAAUUCCCGGUGUAGCGGUGAAAUGCGUAGAUAUCGGGAAGAACACCGGUGGCGAAAGCGCUCUACUGGGUCGCACCUGACCCUCAGGGACGAAAGCUAAGGUAGCG